UGCCCAGCAACUCCUAUCCCUACCUCCUCGCGGUACCGGUCGGAAACUAUGAGCAACCUUAGGGAAGAUCGGGUAACCAACCCCGGUGGGAACUUUGGUCGUAGGCUGACAGGGAAGG
This is a non-coding RNA of Aedes albopictus (Asian tiger mosquito), 118 nucleotides long. Lineage: Eukaryota; Metazoa; Arthropoda; Insecta; Diptera; Culicidae. The record is from Rfam.